GUCCAACGCGGAGUGUGCUCCUCCGGGGGUCCGUGGCCGGCGCCGCGGGCUCCAAGGUGGGAUGUCACAGGCCGAGAGGGGCAGUGUGUGCGCAGCCGCCUGCCUCGACGCUUCCGCCGGAUUCCCUCCGCCUCCGCAGACCAGCGCGAUGCGGCGCCGCAUUUCGGGGCACCUAAAAUCUGUUCUCCGACUGGGAGGCUUCUGAAGGUCCUCUCUUCAAUCAAGGCUCUCCUUUAAAGAAGAAAGAAAUCUGCAGGUUCUCCAAGUGAUGCUUGGGAUCGCCAUUCAAAUAGUCCCAGGUGAACGUGGGCUUCUGCGUCUUAGGCAUUAUUGUGAUGGCUACCACCAAUUCUCUGAUGUGGACGUUCUUUAGCCGGGGCCUCAGUUUCUCCAUGUCUUCAGCCAUUGCAUCUGUCACGGUGACUUUUUCAAAUAUCCUCAGCUCGGCCUUCCUGGGUUUUGUGUUGUAUGGAGAGUGCCAGGAGGUCUUGUGGUGGGGAGGAGUCUUCCUCAUCCUCUGCAGACUCACCCUGAUCCACAGGGAGCUGCCACCACCCAGGAAGGCUCUUCCACACAAGCAGCAGUAGCGCCAGCGGGCUGGGCGGACCCGCUGGAAAGACAGCGAUGGCGGCUCAGGCUCGGGCUGGCGUGUGGGGACUGCUUCUCAGGGCGAUCUGGGUGUGCAGCCUUCUGACCCUCGGCCAAAGAGAGAUGCUUCCCAGGGAACCAGGCCUGUGACCGAGCAGCCUUGCGGGUGGACAGCUCCGGCCUCUGUCAGGGGAAGUACACCGCAGCAUGUUCUGCCCGAAGUCUUCUCGGUCCGUCUGCUCGGUGCUGAUUCUCACGCUCCACAACCCACCCGGUGAGCCAUGGCAGGUGCGGGAGACCCUGGGGUUGGUGGGCUUCCUGUAUGGACUUGAAACCAUUGCUGUAACUGCAGUCCUGUUGCCUAACAAAGGCCUGUCAUGGAACUUUGGAAUCAAUGACUGGUGGGGCUUUCGACAACUUCACACUGAUAUGUCAGGCCAUCAGCGUCAUGCUUCUGGAUUAUGGCAAGAGAAGGAAAACUAGAUUAAUAAAUACUUUUUUUGUAAGUUAAAACUG
Long non-coding RNA from Balaenoptera ricei (Rice's whale), 1104 nucleotides. RefSeq lists it as uncharacterized. NCBI's taxonomy places the organism in Eukaryota, Metazoa, Chordata, Mammalia, Artiodactyla, Balaenopteridae. The record is from RefSeq and is a predicted model, not a curated record. The transcript is spliced from 4 exons.